RNAcentral lists this long non-coding RNA (289 nucleotides) under Manihot esculenta (cassava). RNAcentral describes it as "long non-coding RNA (MESC_LNC011713)". Lineage: Eukaryota; Viridiplantae; Streptophyta; Magnoliopsida; Malpighiales; Euphorbiaceae. The record is from RNAcentral.
GAGGUUCGGCUCUGUUUAGGGGUUUCGGCCUCCGAAAGUAGCCCCCGAAAGGGUUCGGCCGCCGAAAGAGGAUAUUCGGCCGCCGAAGGUACUUGAGUUUCGGCUCUGUUCAGGACAUUCGGCCGCCGAACCUGCCGCCGAAUGUGUUCUGUCCAGCCUUUUUUUGCAUGCUUUGUGUGAUUGUUUUAGAGGUUCAGAAGGGGUUAUGGGGGAUUGUUUAAGAGUUGAUAAGAGUAUGUUUGACACCUCAUUCGAGUCCAUUUGUGUAGGAUUGGACCCGACAGUUCAG